Molecule: ribosomal RNA, 406 nt
Filed under: uncultured marine phototrophic eukaryote
Lineage: Eukaryota
Description: bacterial SSU rRNA
Rfam family: Bacterial small subunit ribosomal RNA
Source: RNAcentral
CGAAAGCCUGACGGAGCAAUACCGCGUGAGGGAUGACGGCCUAUGGGUUGUAAACCUCUUUUUUCAGGGAGGAAUAAAAUGACGUGUACCUGAAGAAUAAGCAUCGGCUAACUCCGUGCCAGCAGCCGCGGUAAGACGGAGGAUGCAAGUGUUAUCCGGAAUCACUGGGCGUAAAGCGUCUGUAGGUGGUCCAAUAAGUCAACUGUUAAAUCUUGAGGCUCAACCUCAAAAUCGCAGUCGAAACUAUUAGACUAGAGUAUAGUAGGGGUAAAGGGAAUUUCCAGUGGAGCGGUGAAAUGCGUAGAGAUUGGAAAGAACACCGAUGGCGAAGGCACUUUACUGGGCUAUUACUAACACUCAGAGACGAAAGCUAGGGUAGCAAAUGGGAUUAGAUACCCCAGUAGUC